UACGUAGGGUGCGAGCGUUGUCCGGAAUUAUUGGGCGUAAAGGGCUCGUAGGCGGUCUGUCGCGUCAGGAGUGAAAACUCGGGGCUUAACCCCGAGCCUGCUUCUGAUACGGGCAGACUAGAGGUAUGCAGGGGAGAACGGAAUUCCUGGUGUAGCGGUGAAAUGCGCAGAUAUCAGGAGGAACACCGGUGGCGAAGGCGGUUCUCUGGGCAUGAUCUGACGCUGAGGAGCGAAAGUGUGGGGAGCGAACAGG
This 253-nucleotide ribosomal RNA is filed under the name uncultured bacterium. RNAcentral's name for it is "partial 16S ribosomal RNA". It matches the Rfam family "Bacterial small subunit ribosomal RNA", at positions 524 to 776 of the family's 1533-position model. The record is from RNAcentral.